RNAcentral lists this transfer RNA (76 nucleotides) under Clostridium sp. RNAcentral's name for it is "tRNA-Glu". It matches the Rfam family "tRNA". From Rfam's summary of the family: Transfer RNA (tRNA) molecules are approximately 80 nucleotides in length. The record is from RNAcentral. Lineage: Bacteria; Bacillati; Bacillota; Clostridia; Eubacteriales; Clostridiaceae. RNAcentral also lists the same sequence under 2 other names.
GGCCCGUUGGUGAAACGGUUAACACAUUACCCUCUCAAGGUAACAUUCAUGGGUUCAAAUCCCAUACGGGUCACCA